UUUUCACAAGCCCUCCAGGUGUGCCUGAUGCAGUCUCAAGUUUGAGAACUGCUGGCUUUUACAGAACAUAAAGCGAAGGUUGAGCCCCAAGGGAGUGGUGGGAAGUUGCUCUAAGAAGAGACAAGGUGGCCCCUCUGGCCUGUGUGAGCGGAAGGCAGCUGCGCUGUGAGCAAGAUCUCGGGAGAUGAGAGUCUGAAGCUUAUGGUGAGAGCAGCGGCCCUGGUGGAAGCGUGGUAGCCCCUAGAAGGUCCAGGAUGGAACACAGAAGCUUUCCCUUGGGAUAUUGUGGCGUGUGGAAAGAAGAGGAACCAGAAAAGAAUGUUUGUGAAGUUCUGGCUUGAAUCUCGUGCCGGGAGUGUGAAGAAGGUCCUUGCUUCCCCUUCACCUUCUGCCAUGAUUCUAAGUUUCCUGACGCCUCCCAGCCGUGCUUCCUGUUAAGCCUGUGAAACUGCUCAUGUGGAAGGGACUUACCUUGUCUCAGAUGAGACUUUGGACUGUGGAUUUUGAGUUAAUGCUGGGAUGAGUUAAGACUUUGGGGGACUGUUGGGAAGGCAUGAUUGGUUUUGAAAUGUGAGAAGAACAUGAGAUUUGGGAGAGGCCAAGGGUGGAAUGAUAUGGUUCGGCUCUAUGUCCCCACCCAAAUCUCAUCUCAAAUUGUAAUCCUCACAUGUUGUGGGAGGGGCCUGGUGGGACGUGAUUGAAUCAUGGGGGUGGAUUUCCCCCUUGCUGUUCUCUUGAUAGUGAGUGAGUUCUUGCAAGAUCUGGUUGUCUGAAAGUGUGUGACAUGUCUCCCUUUGCUCUUUCUCCAUCCUGCCACCAUGUGAAGGAGGUCCUUACUUCCCCUUCACCUUCUGCCUUAAUGUUAAGUUUCCUGAGGCCUUCCAGCCAUGCUUUCUGUUAAGCCUGUGGGUCAAUUAAACCUCUCUUCAUAAAUUACCCAGUCUCAGGUAUUUCUUUAUAGCAGUGUGAAAAUGGGCUAAUACAGAGCAUAUCCUAGGCUAUAAAAUAAACCUAAAUAAACAUAACAUUUAAAAGAGUUGAAAUUAUACAGAGCAUAUUCUCUGAUCAUAAUGGAAUCGAGGUAGAAAUCAAUAACAGAAUGAUAACAGGAAGAUCUCUAGAUCGGUGGAAAUUAAACAACAUACUUCUAAAUCCUAAGGUCAAAGAGAAUGUCUCAAAAGAAAUUAACAAAAACCUAUAGAACUGAAGAAAAAUGAAAACAGAUAUCAAGAACACCUGAGAUGAAGUUAAAGCAGGGCUAAGUGAGAAAUUAUAGCCCUAAAUGUUUACAUUAUAAAUGAGGAAAGUUCUCAAAUGAAUAACCUACAUUCCUACUUCAAGAAAUUAGAAAAAGAAUAGCAAAAUAAACCCAAAGCAAGUAUAACAAAGGAAAUAAAGAUAAGGGCAGAAAUCAAUGAAAUGGAAAAUAGGAAAACAAUGGGGAAAUUAUGAAAUAAAGAGCUGGUUUUUUGAAAAAAAUCAAUGACGUUGAAAAAUAUCUAUGAUCGAGACCAUCCUGGCUAACACGGUGAAACCCCAUCUCUACUAAAAAUACAAAAAAUUAGCCGAGCAUGGUGGCAGGCUCCUGUAGUCCCAGCUACUUGGGAGGCUGAGGAAGGACAAUCACUUGAACCUGGGAGGCGGAGGUUGCAGUGAGCAGAGAUUGCGCCACUGCACUCCAGCCUGGGCAACAGAGUGAGAUUUUGUCUCAAAAAAAAAAAAGAAAAAAAAAAGAAAAAAAUCUCCAUGAAAGUUGACAAAAAUAAAAAGAAUGAAGGCACCAAUCACCAAAUUUGGAAUGAAACAGAGGAUAUCCCAACAGAUCCUGCAGAUAUUGAAAAGAUAACAAGGGAAUACUAUUAAUAAUUAUAUGCCCAUCAAUUUGAGAACUUGGAAGAAAUAGAUCAUUUCCUUGAAAAUGACAAACUACCAAAACUCAACCAAGGUAAAAUACAGUAGUCACUCCUUAUCUGUGGUUUUGUUUUCUGCUGUUUCAGUCAACUGUGGCUCAAAAAUGUUAAAUGGAAAACUGCGGAAAUAAACAAUCUAUAAAAUUUAGAUUGUGUGUCAUUCUGAGUAGCAUGAUGAAAUCUCUUACUGUCCUGCUCUUUGCAUCCAGGAUGUGAAUUCUCCCUUUGUCCGGUGUCUUGAUGAGUUGCACCACCACCUGUUGGUCAUUUAGUAGCUGUUUUCUCAGAUUGACUUUCGUGUUAUUAUAGUACUUGUGUUCCAGUUACCCUUAUUUUACUUAAUAAUGGCCCCAGAGUGCAACAGUGGUGAUUUGAAUAUGCCAAAGAGAAGCCAUAAAGUGCUUCCUUUAAAAAUGAAAUUAAAAAAUGAAAGUUCUCAACUUAAUAAAGGGAAAAAAUAAUAUACUGGGGCUGCUACAGUAAAAAUGAAUCUUCUAUCCUUGAAAUGGUGAAGAAUGAAAAAGAAACUCAUGCAUAGUAUAGAUAGGUAGAUAGGGUUCAGUACUAUCCUAGGUUUCAGACAUCCACUGGGGGACUUGGAACGCAUCCCCUGCAGAUAAAGAGGAAACACUGUAAAUAAUCCGAAUAUCCCUAUAACCAUUAACAACUUCUAAUUGAAUUUGUAAUUAAAUCAUCCUGAAAAAGAAAUGUCUGGGCCCAGAUAGUUUCACUGCAUCUGUGGGGGGUCCCCAAGACAAUCACCAGGUUCAGUGAUUCACUAGGAGGGCUCCCAGGGUCCUGCAUGUUGCCUCAUGCAUGUCUGAGAUUUAUUAACGGUGCAAAGAUACAGGGUGGGGUUGGCAAAGGGAAAGGCACGCUGGACAAAGUCUGGGAGACACAAGGUGCAGGUGUUUGAGUCACCUCCCAGUGGAGUCAAACAGGACAUUCUGAGUUUCUCCAGCAACGAGCUGCACCAGUAUGUGUGAAGAGUUGCCUGUCAGGGAAGCUCACCUGAGCCUUGGGUUCGAGGGUUUUUCCUAACCAUUGGGCAUGUAGGGCCCGUAGUGCCUGUGUGACUGACUGACAUCACUGACACUCCAGACACUCACAAGGAAAGCAGUAGUUCAGCAUAAUCACAUUAUGCUAGCAGUCUAGGUACAAUGAGUCACUCUUAUCAUUUAGGGAAAGUGUUACAUCACCAUAGGGAACUACCUUUCCAGCCACAUUCUCUCAUACCAGCCAAGGGUAAACCUUGCAAGAGACCCUUUGUAAGGACGGCAGUUCCAGAUCUGCUAUGCUAUUUUCUCUACACUGAAGAACUUUACAAACCAACUAAAGAAUUAACACCUAUUUUACAUAAUCUCUUCCAGAAAACAGAAGAGAAGGGAAUACUUCCCAACUCAUCUUUUGAGGCCAGUAUUAACUGAUACCCAAACCAGACAGUCAAUACAAAAAGAAACUACAAAGCAAUAUUUCUCAUAAACUUAGAUGUGAAAAUCCUCAACAAAGUAUUAGGAAACUGAACCCAAUGAUGUAUAAAAGGAAUUAAAUGCCAUGACCAAGGUGGGGUUCAUUUCAGGUGUG
This 3494-nucleotide long non-coding RNA is filed under the name Homo sapiens (human). RNAcentral describes it as "HSALNT0332056". Lineage: Eukaryota; Metazoa; Chordata; Mammalia; Primates; Hominidae. The record is from RNAcentral.